AUGGAAAAAUGUGGGAUCCGCAAAUACCGUAUUAUGGAUAUUUUGUGCUUUCAAUACGGUGGAUUUGAUAAGGUUGGAUGCAUAAAGAGGGACGUUUAUAAUUUCUGCCAUGCUAAUAAGCAGGAGACAAUCAGUGCCGGUGAUGCUAAUACGGUGAUCAUUCACAUGAUGGAGAGGCGAGAGCGAGAUGUGGAUUUUUUCUUCAAGUACUUGGUAGACGAGCAUGGCCAUCUGAAGGGACUGUUCUGGGCUGAUAGUCAGUCGCGACUUGACUACGAGGCUUUCGGAGACGUCAUUGUUUUCGAUAGCACAUACAGAACCAACAAAUACAAUCUGCCAUUCGUGCCGUUUGUCGGGUUGAAUCACCACCGCAGCACUGUUAUUUUGGCUGUGGUAUAA
This 399-nucleotide ribosomal RNA is filed under the name Triticum aestivum (bread wheat). RNAcentral's name for it is "partial small subunit ribosomal RNA". Lineage: Eukaryota; Viridiplantae; Streptophyta; Magnoliopsida; Poales; Poaceae. The record is from RNAcentral.